AAGAAUUCUAGUUUUGGUCAAUGGCUUGUAGGAAGAGAAGUUCGCAAGUUUUUUGGGGACAAUUACUACCGUGGGAAAGUUAUUGAAUUUGAUGGGGAAGUCGGUUGGUUCAGGGUGAAGUAUGAAGAUGGCGACAUUGAAGAUCUUGAGUGGCAUGAGUUGGAACAAGUCCUUCAGCCUUUGGACAUUACUAUUCCAUUGAUAACAGUAGCCACAAAGGUCAAUAAGAGAAAGCAGAAAUCCAUUCAAGAAUUCAGGGGUAUAACUAGAAAUCAAGGUAUAAAAG
RNAcentral lists this unclassified non-coding RNA (286 nucleotides) under Hevea brasiliensis (rubber tree). Lineage: Eukaryota; Viridiplantae; Streptophyta; Magnoliopsida; Malpighiales; Euphorbiaceae. The record is from RNAcentral.